This 453-nucleotide ribosomal RNA is filed under the name uncultured bacterium. Its description in RNAcentral is "bacterial SSU rRNA". It matches the Rfam family "Bacterial small subunit ribosomal RNA", at positions 340 to 786 of the family's 1533-position model. The record is from RNAcentral.
UACGGAAGGCAGCAGUGGGGAAUAUUGCACAAUGGGCGCAAGCCUGAUGCAGCCAUGCCGCGUGUAUGAAGAAGGCCUUCGGGUUGUAAAGUACUUUCAGUCGUGAGGAAGGUGUUAAGGUUAAUAACCUUAGCAAUUGACGUUAGCGACAGAAGAAGCACCGGCUAACUCCGUGCCAGCAGCCGCGGUAAUACGGAGGGUGCGGGCGUUAAUCGGAAUUACUGGGCGUAAAGGGCACGCAGGCGGUUAAUUAAGUUGGAUGUGAAAUCCCCGGGCUUAACCUGGGAAUGGCAUUCAAGACUGGUUAGCUAGAGUCUUGUAGAGGGGGUAGAAUUCCAUGUGUAGCGGUGAAAUGCGUAGAGAUGUGGAGGAAUACCGGUGGCGAAGGCGGCCCCUGGACAAAGACUGACGCUCAUGUGCGAAAGCGUGGGGAGCAAACAGGGAUUAGAUACC